CCUACGUGAGGCAGCAGUGAGGAAUAUUGGUCAAUGGGCGCGCGCCUGAACCGGCCAAGUAGCGUGAAGGAUGACUGCCCUACGGGUUGUAAACUUCUUUUAUAAAGGAAUAAAGUGAGGCACGUGUGCCUUUUUGUAUGUACUUUAUGAAUAAGGAUCGGCUAACUCCGUGCCAGCAGCCGCGGUAAUACGGAGGAUCCGAGCGUUAGCCGGAUUUAUUGGGUUUAAAGGGAGCGUAGAUGGGUGGUUAAAUCAGUUGUGAAAGUUUGCGGCGCAACCGUAAAAUUGCAAUUGAUACUGGCAGUCUUGAGUACAGUUGAGGUAGGCGGAAUUCGUGGUGUAGCGGUGAAAUGCUUAGAUAUCACGAAGAACUCCGAUUGCGAAGGCAGCUUACUAAACUGCCACUGACAUUGAUGCUCGAAAGUGUGGGUAUCAAACAGGAUUAGAUACCCGAGUAGUC
Molecule: ribosomal RNA, 460 nt
Filed under: uncultured bacterium
Lineage: Bacteria
Description: partial 16S ribosomal RNA
Rfam family: Bacterial small subunit ribosomal RNA
Source: RNAcentral